Molecule: ribosomal RNA, 350 nt
Filed under: Aspergillus niger
Lineage: Eukaryota; Fungi; Ascomycota; Eurotiomycetes; Eurotiales; Aspergillaceae
Description: SSU rRNA
Rfam family: Eukaryotic small subunit ribosomal RNA
Source: RNAcentral
GGCUGGCCGGUCCGCCUCACCGCGAGUACUGGUCCGGCUGGACCUUUCCUUCUGGGGAAUCUCAUGGCCUUCACUGGCUGUGGGGGGAACCAGGACUUUUACUGUGAAAAAAUUAGAGUGUUCAAAGCAGGCCUUUGCUCGAAUACAUUAGCAUGGAAUAAUAGAAUAGGACGUGCGGUUCUAUUUUGUUGGUUUCUAGGACCGCCGUAAUGAUUAAUAGGGAUAGUCGGGGGCGUCAGUAUUCAGCUGUCAGAGGUGAAAUUCUUGGAUUUGCUGAAGACUAACUACUGCGAAAGCAUUCGCCAAGGAUGUUUUCAUUAAUCAGGGAACGAAAGUUAGGGGAUCGAAGA